This 9802-nucleotide long non-coding RNA is filed under the name Nicotiana benthamiana. Its description in RNAcentral is "long non-coding RNA (NBEN_LNC012245)". The record is from RNAcentral. Lineage: Eukaryota; Viridiplantae; Streptophyta; Magnoliopsida; Solanales; Solanaceae.
UGCUUCUACCUAGUAUCUAGUGUCACUACUCACGGACUACUAAAAGAGUACUAAAAAUAUCAGUCUGAAAGAAAAUACAUAACAAGUAUGUUUCGAUACAAUGAAAAAUAAACGGAAAGAAAUAGAUGAGACUCAGGGCCCCCGAACGUCAGCGAACUACCUCAGAGUCUCGGGACUGAAGACUCGCUCCCUAGCUACUGUUGCGGUCCGUAAAUUGUAUCCUGACCUGUGCACAAAAGGCACCGAAGAGCGGUAUUAGCACAACCGACCCCAUGUGCUGGUAAGUGCCCGGCCUAACCACGACGAGGUAGUGACGAGGCUAAACCGGACCUACCAUAAUCAACCUGUACUAAUAUAUGUGCAAUAACGGAAAGAUAAAAAAAUCUAAACCGAUAAUGGGAAAGGGGGUGUAACAGUUCAAUUAUAAGUCCAACGAACAAGAAAUGGAAACUGAAUAUUUAACAUCAAUAAAAGAGAGCCAGUAAAAUCAACCGUUGCAUGGCACCACCCAUCGUGCUUUUACACUCGUCCUCACUAAUAUAAUAAAUUAAAGUGGACGGCAUCAGCCAUCGUACUUUAUCACUCUCCCUCACCCAAUCAAUAGCAUAAAGUAAUCCGGGGUUACACGGCAUCACCCAUCGUGCUUUAUCGUUCAGCCUCACCCAAGCAAUAAUAAUAAGCAAAUCAUUGGUUACACGACAUCACCCAUCGUGCUUUAUAGGUCAUCCUCACCCAAACAAUGAUCACCAAUAAUAUGGCGAGGGUAUAAACAACAUGAUUAAUCAUCCCGGCAAGGGAGAACAUUUCAACAACAAGUCCCGUCAAGGGAAAAAAAUACCCCACUUCUUCUUUAACUCAUUUGAUUCUCAAUUAUCACUUCAUAAUUCAUUUAACAAGUAAUUAGCUCAAUUGUUUCACCUCUUUCGAAUUUAUAAGCAGCUACGACUCACAGUUAUGCUAGACUUGGGCGCAUAGGUAACCGUUACCAUACCUAUACACCGACUCCACAUAGCACAUAGCAAAUAUUGUCCUAAUCCUAUUCCCUAANNNNNNNNNNNNNNNNNNNNNNNNNNNNNNNNNNNNNNNNNNNNNNNNNNNNNNNNNNNNNNNNNNNNNNNNNNNNNNNNNNNNNNNNNNNNNNNAAAGCCAAAGUUAGAACAAACACUUACCUCGAAUCCGAAAAUAGCAACUCAAAGCUCAACAAUCGCCUUUCCUCUAGAAUUCGACCCCAGACCAAUGAUAUCUAACAUAAAUCGAUUUAAUAUUAUCAAUAAUAGCACAAGGAUAUAACUUCCUAGCUUAGAAAUGCAUUUUCUAAUUUUUUUUCCAUAAAUAAAAAAAAUCCGACACCAGGCCCACAUGGUCCAAACUUGAGGCUCGGAUCAAAUUCCGAUUACCCAUUACCCCACGAGUCCAAAUAUAUGAUUUGUUUUAAGAUUCGACCCUAAAUUGAGGUUGAAUUGCCCAAAAUUUUCAAAAAUCUAACUCUACCAAAAAGCCCUUAUUUCUACCAUGAUUUCAUGUUUUAGGGUUAGAAAAUUGAUGUUUAGAUGAAGUAAAUUAGAAGAAAAUGAAGUUAGGAUUACUUCACAAUUUCAUGUUUUAGGGUUAGAAAUUUGAUGAUUUGAUUAAGAAAUAAUGGAAGAAUAAGGUUGGAAUCACUUACCCAAGGAGUUAUGGUGAAAUGGAGGCUUGGAGUUUGUCAAUGGAGAGUGUAGGAGAAGAGCUCGUGUGGAAUGGUGAGGAAAUUCUCGAGCUACUGUUAUGUUUUUAACUUAAAAUCACUGGGCGAAAAAGACUCUAUAUGAUCGCAUCAUAGGAUUGCGUUCGCAUUGAAUAACUGCUCGGGAUUCUAUGCGUUCGCGGAAAAGCUAUGCGAACGCAUAGAAGAAACUGGGGGAAAGUCUGGUUAGCUCUAUGCGUUCGCGAAGAAAGGGUGCGAACGCAUAGAAGAAAGUUCUGGGGACUGACAUUUGAACUAUGCAAACGCAUAGGGACACUGCGAACGCGGAAGGGGAACGAGUCAGAACUAUGCGAACGCAUAGGAAGGGUGCGUUCGCAUAGGAGAAAACCUGACUGCAUUUUCUGCAACUGUUCUAAGUGCAAAACAUCGCGAACCACCCCCAAAAUCACUCCCGAGCCCUCGGGGCUCCUAACCAACCACAUCACUAACUCAAUAUCAUCCUACGAACUUUCUUGGGCGAUCAAAUCACUAAAAUAAGAUUAAAAUAAAAGAAUCAACCUCCAAAACUCAUGAUUUUCAUUUCAAAGUUCAAAACUUCCAAAUUUUCCAUUUUUAGUGCAAAACAUGUCAAAUGACGUCCGUUUUAAACCAAACUUUACAGAUAGCGCUUAACGCUCAUUUAAGACUUGUACCGGGCGUUGGAACCAAAAUACGAGCCGAUACCAUUACUUUUGAUCAAAUCUCAAUUUCAUUUUUUCUUACGCAUUUUCAAAAAAUAAUUUCAUGGAAAAAUUUCGUACUCGGGCCUGGGACCUCUGAUUUCGAUUUCGAGAAUACGCCCGGGUCCUAUAUUUUCCUAUAGACCCUCCAGGACCAUCACAUCAUGGGUCCGGGUCCGUUUACCUAAAAUAUUGACCAAAGUCAACUAUAGCAAUAUUAUUAUCAAAAUUCAUAGUUUUUAACAUAGAUUUCAUAUAUUUCCACUUAAAAAAAUUUUGGGUUCGCUUUCGGACUGUGCACGCAAAUCAAGACAACCAAAUAAGAGGUUUGUAAGGCCUCGGAAGCACAAGGGAAGGGAGAAUGACGGUGAUGACCCUUUGAGUCGUCACAUCCUCCACCUCUAAAAUAACUGUUCGUCCAAGAACGGACAAAAGAAAUAAGUACCUAAGUAAGGGAACAAAUGGGGAUAACAGCUCUGCAUAUCAGACUCGGACUCCCAGGUCGAUGCCCUAGGAGGCUGACCUUUCUACUGAACACGUACUGAGGGAAAAUUCCUCGACCUCAACUGUCAAACCUGCCAGUCUAAAAUAGCCAUUGGCUCUUCCUCAUAUAAUAGAUCCUUGUCCAAUUGGACAGUACUGAAAUCUAACCUGGGGCGAGAUCACCGUGAUACUUCUGAAGCAUGGACAUAUGAAAACUGGAUGCACAACUGACAAGCUAGGUGGCAAGGAAAGUCUAUAAGCCACCUUCCCCACACUGUCAAGAAUCUCAAAUGGUCCAAUAAACCUAGGGCUAAGCUUUCCCUUCUUCCCAAAUCUCAUCAUGCCCUUCAUAGGCAACACUCGGAGCAAUACCCGCUCACCAACCAUAAACGCCAUAUCACAAACCUUGCGGUCUGCAUAACUCUUUUGCCUAGACUGAGCCGAACGAAGCCUAUCCCGAAUGAUCUUGACCUUGUCCAAGGCCUCCUGAACCAAAUCUGAUUCAUAGGCGACACACGGAGCAAUAUGUGCUCACCAACCAUGAAAGUAACAUCCUUGACCUUACGAUCUGCAUAACUCUUCUGCCUAGACUGAGCUGACCGAAGUCUGUCCCCACGAGCCUCCAAAAUCAAUAACGUAGGCUCAGAGCAUAUCCUCAAGAAUCUGAAUAGUCCUCUCGGACAGACCGUUCGUCUGGGGUGAAAUACUGUACUCAAAUGGACUUGGGUGCUCAACUCAUGCUAUACCGCUCUCCAGAAUUGUGAGGUAAACUGCGGCCCCUGGUCCAAAAUAAUAGAUAUGGACACCCCAUGAAGGCGAACAAUCUCUAUGAUAUAAAUCUCGGCAUAUCUCUCAGAUGAAUAGAUGGUGGCAACUGGAAUAAAAUGCGCUGACUUGGUCAGCCUAUCAACAAUAAACCAUAUAGCAUCAAACUUCUUUCGAGUCAUCAGAAAUUCAGUAACAAAAUCCGUGGUAAUUCUUUCCCGUUUCCACUAGGAAAGCUCCAUCCUCUGAAAUAACCCACCGGGCCUCUGAUGCGUGUACUUCACCUGCUGACGAUUUAGUCAAUGAGCCACAUAUAGAACAAUGUUUUUCUUCAUUCUGCGCCACCAGUAAUGCUGCCUCAAGUCUUGAUACAUCUUCGUGGCGCCCGGGUGAAAAGAAUACCGAGAACUGUGGGCCUCCGCUAAGAUCGACUCCCGAAUACCAUCAAUAUUGGGCACACAAACUCGCCCCUGAAAUCUUAAUACGCUGUCAUCUCCUAAAGUCAUCUCCCUGGCACCUCCCCGUUGUACCGUGUCUCUCAGGACACACAAAUGGGGAUCAUCAAACUGCCACUCCCGAAUNNNNNNNNNNNNNNNNNNNNNNNNNNNNNNNNNNNNNNNNNNNNNNNNNNNNNNNNNNNNNNNNNNNNNNNNNNNNNNNNNNNNNNNNNNNNNNNNNNNNNNNNNNNNNNNNNNNNNNNNNNNNNNNNNNNNNNNNNNNNNNNNNNNNNNNNNNNNNNNNNNNNNNNNNNNNNNNNNNNNNNNNNNNNNNNNNNNNNNNNNNNNNNNNNNNNNNNNNNNNNNNNNNNNNNNNNNNNNNNNNNNNNNNNNNNNNNNNNNNNNNNNNNNNNNNNNNNNNNNNNNNNNNNNNNNNNNNNNNNNNNNNNNNNNNNNNNNNNNNNNNNNNNNNUUCAUAGUCUUUCAACAACUCCAACCACCUCCGCUGUCUCAAAUUCAACUCUUUUUGCUUGAACAAGUACUGAAGGCUCUUGAGAUCAGUGUACACCUCACACGUCACACCAUAUAAUUAAUGCCUCCACAUCUUGAAGGCAUGAACAAUGGCUGCCAACUCUAGGUCAUGAAUUGAAUAAUUUUUCUCGUGGAUCUUCAACAGCCUCGAAGCAUAAGCUAUGACCUUGCCAUUCUGCAUCAACACUGCGCCAAGCCCGAUGCGGGAAGCAUCAAAAUACACAGUAUAAGGCCCAAAUCCCGUGGGCAAAACCAAUACCGGUGUCGUAGUCAGAGCUAUAUUGAGCUUCUGGAAACUCGCCUCGCACUCGUCUGACCACCUAAACUGGGCACCCUUCUGGGUUAAUCUAGUCAUCGGGGCUGCGAUAGAUGAAAACCCCUCUGCGAAACGUCUGUAGUAACCAGCUAACCCCAAGAAGCUACGGAUCUCUGUAGCUGAAGUUGGUCGAGGACAGUUCUUGACUGCCUCUAAAUUCUUCGGGUCCACCUGAAUACCCUCUGAAUGCUGAUACGACAAGACCCACGAAUGCGACUGAACUCAACCACAGCUCGCACUUUGAGAACUUGGCGUACAAUUGACUAUUCUUCAGAGUCUGAAGAACCACUCUGAGGUAUUUCUCAUGCUCCUCUCGAAUGCUGCAGUAUUUAAAGAUGUCGUCAAUGAAUACAAUCACAAACAAAUCCGAAUAGGUCCUGAACACUCGAUUCAUCGACUCCAUGAAUGCUGUCGGGGCAUUGGUUAACCCAAACGACAUCACCAAGAACUCAUAAUGCCCGAACCAAGUACGAAAAACUAUUUUAAGGACGCCAAAUAUCCUAAUCCUCAACCGAUGGUAACCAGAUUCCCAAUCUAUCCUUGAAAACACCUUGGCACUCUGAAGCUGAUCGAACCAUAUCCUUAAUCCUCGGUAGUGGAUCCUUUUUAUUUGUCGUUGCCUUUCUCAACUGCCGCUAAUCAAUGCACAUACUCAUCUAACCAUCCUUUUUCUUCACAAAAAACACUAGUGCGCCCCAAGGCGAAACACUGGGCCUAAUGAAACUCUUACCUAGCAAAUCCUGAAGCUGCUCCUUUAACUCUUCCAACUCUGGCGGGGCCAUGCAAUACGACGAAAUGGUAAUAAGCUGAGUACUCGGCGCUAGGUCAAUACAAAAAUCGAUAUCCCUAUCAGGUGGCAUGCCCGACAGGUCUGAGGAGAAAACCUCGAGAAAUCUCCUGAACCAUACAAACAGAACCAAUGGGAGGAACCUUUAUGCUGGAGUCGCGAUUAUACGCCAAUUGAGCCAAAAACCUCUUCUUAUCCAUGCGUCGAGCCUUCGCAUAAAAUAUCACACUUGGGGUUGGAUGAUCUGAACUCCCUCUUCACUCUAAAUAGAGCAAAUCGGGUAAAGACAGCGUCAAGGUCUUGAUGCAAGAAUCCAAAAUAGCAUGGCACGGGGACAACUAAUCCAUUCCCAAUAUAACGUCAAAGUCCACCAUGUCAAAAAGCAAUAAGUCGACAUGUGUCUGAAGACCCUCAAAUACUACCAAACAUAAAUGAUGCACUCAGUCGGCCAUUAUAGAAUCACUCACCGGUGUAGACACAUAUAUACAGAAAACCCAAUGCCUCACGAGGCAUAAUCAAAUGGGGUGCAAAACAGGGCAAAAUAUAUAAAUACGUAGAUUCAAGGUUAAAGAGAGAUGAAGAUUAUCUAAUACAAAUCGGAACAAUACCUGUAAUUUCUGCAUCUGAAGUCUCAACCUCCAAACUAGACUCAGGCUGAUCCCUACUGCUGGCGGUCCAAACUCCACCUCUAAGACCUUUACCCCUGCCUCUAGCCGGCUGGGUAGGCUGUGGAACCUUCGAUGCCCGGAGCCAAGCACAAUAACUCUGAUACUGAGAGCUGCUCAGAGCUCUAGGGAAAAAUCUAACCAUGUGCCAUGGAUCUCCACAAGCAUGGCAAAACCUCGACUACUACAGACGAGCACCCCUUAGUCUCGGGUAGGCCCUCCUGAGGUGACCAUACUCACCACACUCAUAACACCUACAGAGAUCCUGCAACUGAGGAAACUGAUGCUGGCCCUGUCGACCCAAACGAUCACCUGAAGUACCAUGAGUGGUAGGGAAAACCGACUGAAAUGGCUUGGAAGGAUGGCCUCUACCAUAAGAACCUCUACCUCCAGAAGAGGUACCGCUGAAUAUGCCUGUAUGACGGGGUUUCUUAACUGAUCGAUGACCGCCUCCCAAUGGCAGUACUACCUUAACUCCACGACCCUCAUUGGCCGUCUCCUGAAAAGGGACCCCACUCCUUGUCUGAGCCGCUGCACCCGGCUGAUCUACUACCGCUUACUGAGUCCUUAGAAGCAAAACCACUCAAAUAACACCCUCCACAAGAUCCACUAAUCGUACCAAAACGUCAUGAAGAACUGGGGUGGCUAUGAGCCCCUCAGGUACCAGAGCUGGGCCUACUGGAACGGCUGGAGCUAGAGCCUCCUCAUUGUAGGCAACAUGUGGCUCCACCUCUAGGUCUGCUCCUCGGGGCUGAGCUCUGCCCCAACCUCGACCUCGCCCUCUACCUCCGAUAGGAGCUGUUGCUGGAGACUCGGACUGCUGCGUAGUAAAAGAGGAAGCACGUAUUCUCACCAUCUGUGAAAGAAUAGAGUAGAAAUUCAAUAUGUGUUUGGGGAAGAGAAACACACGACAAGAAAGAACAAAGUGAAAAUUCUCCUAACCCUGUAGCCUCCAGGGGAUAAAUACAGAAGUCUCCGUACUGAUCCCUCAAACUCUACCGAGUUUUUCUGUGAGUUGUGAGACCCAAGUAACCUAAUGCUCUCAUACCAACUUGUCAUGACCCGGAUAUUUUCCACCAUUGGGAAAAGUGAUGGCGCCUACUGUCGGAGCUAGGCAAGUCAACCUUUUUAAACAUUUCACAAAAACUUCAAUCUAAAAUAGUAUAAUAACUGAAAUAAUUAAUUGAAACCCACGCGAAAGACUUUUAACAAAAAUAACAAUAGUAAAGUGCGGAAAUUCGUAACAUGCCUCUACCCAGUAUCUGGUGUCACUACUCACGGACUACAGAGUACUAAAAACAUCGGACUGAAAGAAAAUAAGUAACAAGCCUGUUUCAAUACAAUGAAAACAAAUGGAAAGAAAUAGAUGAAACUCAGGGACUGCGAACGCCAACGAACUACCUCGCGAGUCUCGGGAUUAUUUCGAUACAAUGAAAAAAAACAGAAAGAAAUAUAUGAGACCCAGGGCCCGCGAAAACCAGCAAACUACCACGGAGUCUCGGGACUGAAGACUCACUCCCUAGCUACUGCUGCGGUUCGUAGGAUGUAUCCUGGCCUGUGCACAAAAGGCACCAAAGUGUAGUAUCAGCACAACCGACCCCAUAUGCUUGCUAAGUGCCCGGCCCAAUCUCGGCGAGGUAGUGACGAGGCUAAACCGGACCUACCACAAUCAACCUGUAUAGAUAUAUGUGCAAUAACGGAAAGAUAACAAAAUUUAAAUAGAUAAUGGGAAAGGGACAUGCUAGGGGGCGUAACAGUUCAAUUAUAAGUCAAACGAACAAGAAAUGGAAACUGAAUAUUUAACAUCAAUAAAAGAGAGCCAGUAAAAUCAACCGUUGUACGGCACCGCCCAUCGUGCUUUUACCCUCGUCCUCAUCAAGAUAAUCAAUUAAAGUCUACGACAUCACCCAUCGUACUUUAUCACUCUCUCUCACCCAAUCAAUAGCAUAAAGUAAAUCCAGGGUUACACGACAUCACCCAUCGUGCUUUAGCUCUAUGCGAACACAUACGGACAUUGCUAACGCGGAAGGAAAAGGAAUCAGAACUAUGCGAACGCAUAGGAAGGCUGCGUUCGCAUGGGAGAAAACCUGACUGCAAUUUUUCUGCAACUGUUCUAAGUGUAAAACAGCCCGAACCACCCCCGAAAUCACUUCCAAGCCCUCGGGGCUCCCAACUAACCACACACACUAACUCAAUAUCAUCCUAAGAACUUGCUCUAGCGAUCAAAUCGCUAAAAUAACAUUUAAAUCAAAGAAUCAACCUCCAAAACUCAUGAUUUUCAUUUCAAAGCUCAAAACUUCCAAAUUUUCCAUUUUUAGUCCAAAAUACGUCAAAUGACGUCCGUUUUCAACCAAAAUUUACAGAUAGUGCUUAACACUCAUUUAAGACUUAUAUCGGGCAUUGGAACAAAAAUACUAGCCUGAUACCAUUACUUUUGAUAAAAUCUCAUUUUCAUUUUUGCUUACACAUUUUCAGAAAAUAAUUUCACGAAAAAAUUCUGUACUCGGGCUUUGGACCUCGGAUUUCGAUUCGGGAAUACGCACGGGUCCCAUAUUUUCGUACGGACCCUCUGAGACCUUCACAUCACGGGUCCGGGUCCGUUUACCUAAAAUAUUGACCAAAAUCAACAAUAGCAAUAUUAUUAUCAAAAUUCAUAGUUUUUAACACAGAUUUCAUAUAUUUACACAUAAAAUUUUUUUGACUUCGCGUUCGGACUAUGCACGCAAAUCGAAGCAACCAAAUAAGAGGUUUUCAAGGCCUCGGAAGCACAAGGAAAGGAAGAAUGACGGUGAUGACCCUUUGGGUCAUCACGGAUAGCUCUAUUGGCAUGCUUUCAGGUUUUACUUAUUUUAAUCGUUGUUAUUGUCAUGCAAAGAUCCUAUAGGCAUGUCAUCUAUAUGAAAUUGGUUAUUUAACUCCUAUAAGCAUAUUUGCCUUGUGACACAUGCAUAUGCAAAAUGCAGGUAGUCCUAUAGGCAUAUUAUCUAUAUGAUAUGCAGACUUUCAGUAAUGAAUUAUAAAUAUGAUAUCUAUACGAAGUAUAGAAAAAUCUAUGACCAUGAUAUCUAUAUGAAGUGCAGAAUACCCUAUAAACAUGGUAUCUAUAUGAGAUGCAGGAAAAACCUAUGAACAUGGUAUCUACGUAGAAGUUUUAGUAGUAAUUCCCUAUAAACACGAUAUCUAUAUGAGAUGCAAAAUUUCAGUAGUAAAUGAUAUCUACAUGAGAUGCAGAAUUUCAGUAGUUAAUAUCUAUAGACAUGAUAUCUACCCCUUUUACAUAUAUUCAGUCCCAUCCUUUUUCACGACCCACCGCAGUAGUUAUUACAAAAUUACUACAAGCCAAAUGAAUCAGAAAGAAAGUAAAAUUAUAUCAGUGAUUACAUCUACAUCUAAUCAGCCUAAUUCAGACUCAAAG